AGCCCCGUGGUCUAAUGGUACGACACCAGCAUGCUCUGAAAUCAUGAAAAGCUGGAGAAUGCAAGUUCGAUUUUCGCCGAGGCAG
Molecule: non-coding RNA, 85 nt
Organism: Mycena capillaripes
Lineage: Eukaryota; Fungi; Basidiomycota; Agaricomycetes; Agaricales; Mycenaceae
Source: the annotation of a GenBank genome assembly